GCAGUCGAGCGAGCUGAAUUCAAAGAUCCCUUCGGGGUGAUUUGUUGGACGCUAGCGGCGGAUGGGUGAGUAACACGUGGGCAAUCUGCCCUAAAGACUGGGAUACCACUUGGAAACAGGUGCUAAUACCGGAUAACAACAUGAAUCGCAUGAUUCAAGUUUGAAAGGCGGCGUAAGCUGUCACUUUAGGAUGAGCCCGCGGCGCAUUAGCUAGUUGGUGGGGUAAAGGCCUACCAAGGCAAUGAUGCGUAGCCGAGUUGAGAGACUGAUCGGCCACAUUGGGACUGAGACACGGCCCAAACUCCUACGGGAGGCAGCAGUAGGGAAUCUUCCACAAUGGACGCAAGUCUGAUGGAGCAACGCCGCGUGAGUGAAGAAGGUUUUCGGAUCGUAAAGCUCUGUUGUUGGUGAAGAAGGAUAGAGGCAGUAACUGGUCUUUAUUUGACGGUAAUCAACCAGAAAGUCACGGCUAACUACGUGCCAGCAGCCGCGGUAAUACGUAGGUGGCAAGCGUUGUCCGGAUUUAUUGGGCGUAAAGCGAGCGCAGGCGGAAUGAUAAGUCUGAUGUGAAAGCCCACGGCUCAACCGUGGAACUGCAUCGGAAACUGUCAUUCUUGAGUGCAGAAGAGGAGAGUGGAAUUCCAUGUGUAGCGGUGGAAUGCGUAGAUAUAUGGAA
Molecule: ribosomal RNA, 676 nt
Filed under: Lactobacillus delbrueckii subsp. bulgaricus
Lineage: Bacteria; Bacillati; Bacillota; Bacilli; Lactobacillales; Lactobacillaceae
Description: bacterial SSU rRNA
Rfam family: Bacterial small subunit ribosomal RNA
Source: RNAcentral